GAGGUACUCCCUCGGUCCGGAAAUACUUGUCAUCAAAAUGAAUAAAAAAAGAUAAAUCUAAAACUAAAAUACGUCUAAAUAUAUCCCUUUUAUUCAUUUUAAUGAUAAGUAUUUCCAGACAGAGGAAGUACUAG
Molecule: non-coding RNA, 134 nt
Organism: Triticum aestivum (bread wheat)
Lineage: Eukaryota; Viridiplantae; Streptophyta; Magnoliopsida; Poales; Poaceae
Source: Rfam